GCAAGUCGAGCGGAAACGAUGAGAGCUUGCUCUCAGGCGUCGAGCGGCGGACGGGUGAGUAACGCGUAGGAAUCUACCCAGUAGCGGGGGAUAGCCCGGGGAAACCCGGAUUAAUACCGCAUACGCCCCACGGGGGAAAGCAGGGGACCUUCGGGCCUUGCACUAUUGGAUGAGCCUGCGUUGGAUUAGCUAGUUGGUGGGGUAAAAGCCUACCAAGGCGACGAUGAAUAGCCGGCCUGAGAGGGUGACC
This 250-nucleotide ribosomal RNA is filed under the name uncultured bacterium. RNAcentral describes it as "partial 16S ribosomal RNA". It matches the Rfam family "Bacterial small subunit ribosomal RNA", at positions 57 to 305 of the family's 1533-position model. The record is from RNAcentral.